Non-coding RNA from Rhodocollybia butyracea, 99 nucleotides. NCBI's taxonomy places the organism in Eukaryota, Fungi, Basidiomycota, Agaricomycetes, Agaricales, Omphalotaceae. The record is from the annotation of a GenBank genome assembly.
UCCGAUAUGGUGUAGUGGCUAACAUUAUCGCCUCUCAUAACUGUGUAAAGAUGACGAGAUUGGUCGCGAUAGCCCGGGGUUCGAUUCCCCGUGUCGGAA